Molecule: ribosomal RNA, 478 nt
Filed under: uncultured bacterium
Lineage: Bacteria
Description: partial 16S ribosomal RNA
Rfam family: Bacterial small subunit ribosomal RNA
Source: RNAcentral
GAUGAACGCUAGCGGCGUGCCUAAUACAUGCAAGUCGAGCGAUGAAGCUUCUUCGGAAGUGGAUUAGCGGCAGACGGGUGAGUAACACGUGGGUAACCUGCCUCAUAGAGGGGAAUAGCCUUCCGAAAGGAAGAUUAAUACCGCAUAAGAUUGUAAUAUCGCAUGAUAUAGCAAUUAAAGGAGUAAUCCGCUAUGAGAUGGACCCGCGUCGCAUUAGCUAGUUGGUGAGGUAACGGCUCACCAAGGCGACGAUGCGUAGCCGACCUGAGAGGGUGAUCGGCCACAUUGGGACUGAGACACGGCCCAGACUCCUACGGGAGGCAGCAGUGGGGAAUAUUGCACAAUGGGGGAAACCCUGAUGCAGCAACGCCGCGUGAGUGAUGACGGUCUUCGGAUUGUAAAGCUCUGUCUUUAGGGACGAUAAUGACGGUACCUAAGGAGGAAGCCACGGCUAACUACGUGCCAGCCGCCGCCGUAA